This 28-nucleotide non-coding RNA is filed under the name Rattus norvegicus (Norway rat). The record is from RNAcentral. Lineage: Eukaryota; Metazoa; Chordata; Mammalia; Rodentia; Muridae.
AAGCAAUUAGAUGAAGAAGUGAUUUCCC